RNAcentral lists this ribosomal RNA (330 nucleotides) under Salmonella enterica subsp. enterica serovar Derby. RNAcentral describes it as "bacterial SSU rRNA". It matches the Rfam family "Bacterial small subunit ribosomal RNA", at positions 1 to 326 of the family's 1533-position model. The record is from RNAcentral. Lineage: Bacteria; Pseudomonadati; Pseudomonadota; Gammaproteobacteria; Enterobacterales; Enterobacteriaceae.
UUAAUUGAAGAGUUUGAUCAUGGCUCAGAUUGAACGCUGGCGGCAGGCCUAACACAUGCAAGUCGGGCGGUAACAGGGAGAAGCUUGCUUCUCUGCUGACGAGCGGCGGACGGGUGAGUAAUGUAUGGGGAUCUGCCUGAUGGCGGGGGAUAACUACUGGAAACGGUAGCUAAUACCGCAUAAUGUCUUCGGACCAAAGCGGGGGACCUCCGGGCCUCGCGCCAUCAGAUGAACCCAUAUGGGAUUAGCUAGUAGGUGAGGUAACGGCUUACCUAGGCGACGAUCCCUAGCUGGUCUGAGAGGAUGAUCAGCCACACUGGGACUGAGACA